This 253-nucleotide ribosomal RNA is filed under the name uncultured bacterium. Its description in RNAcentral is "partial 16S ribosomal RNA". It matches the Rfam family "Bacterial small subunit ribosomal RNA", at positions 524 to 776 of the family's 1533-position model. The record is from RNAcentral.
AACGAAGGAGGCGAGCGUUAUCCGGAUUUACUGGGUGUAAAGCGCGUGCAGGCGGUCGGUUAAGUUGGAUGUGAAAGCUCCUGGCUCAACUGGGAGAGGUCGUUCAAGACUGGCAGACUGGAGAGCAGUAGGGGAAGGUGGAAUUCCGGGUGUAGUGGUGAAAUGCGUAGAUAUCCGGAGGAACACCAGUGGCGAAAGCGGCCUUCUGGACUGCAUCUGACGCUCAGACGCGAAAGCUAGGGGAGCGAAUGGG